This 211-nucleotide long non-coding RNA is filed under the name Elaeis guineensis (African oil palm). RNAcentral describes it as "long non-coding RNA (EGUI_LNC064057)". Lineage: Eukaryota; Viridiplantae; Streptophyta; Magnoliopsida; Arecales; Arecaceae. The record is from RNAcentral.
CACACUUGAAUUCAAAUUGAAUUUGAAUUCAAAUGCAAACCAACUCAUCCUUAUCCACUCUGGGUGUGAGAAGAGAGGAGGCGUGGCUUCUUUGUGCGUGGAGAGUUUAUACGAGAAACUCUUUCUCGUGUAAAGCAAGGGGCGCACAAGAUAAGGUGGGUGGCGCAUGGAUUAGUUGGUUGCCCAUUCAAAUUCAAACAUCCUUUGAAUU